This 37162-nucleotide long non-coding RNA is filed under the name Triticum aestivum (bread wheat). Its description in RNAcentral is "long non-coding RNA (TAES_LNC018848)". The record is from RNAcentral. Lineage: Eukaryota; Viridiplantae; Streptophyta; Magnoliopsida; Poales; Poaceae.
UUUAAGCCAAGCAAGCAGUGCUCAAUACAAAUCCACCAUGAAGACCUUUCUCAUCCUUGCCCUCCUUGCUAUUGUGGCGACCACCGCCACAACUGCAGUUAGAGUUCCAGUGCCACAAUUGCAGCUACAAAAUCCAUCUCAGCAACAGCCACAAGAGCAAGUUCCAUUGGUACAAGAACAACAAUUUCCAGGGCAGCAACAACCAUUUCCACCACAACAGCCAUAUCCGCAGCCGCAACCAUUUCCAUCACAACAACCAUAUCUGCAGCUGCAACCAUUUCCACAGCCGCAACUACCAUAUCCGCAGCCGCAACCAUUUCGACCACAACAACCAUAUCCACAGCCGCAACCACAGUAUUCGCAACCACAACAACCAAUUUCGCAGCAGCAGCAGCAGCAGCAGCAACAACAACAACAACAACAACAAAUCCUACAACAAAUUUUGCAACAACAACUGAUUCCAUGCAGGGAUGUUGUAUUGCAACAACACAACAUAGCGCAUGGAAGCUCACAAGUUUUGCAAGAAAGUACUUACCAGCUGGUGCAACAAUUGUGUUGUCAGCAGCUGUGGCAGAUCCCCGAGCAGUCGCGGUGCCAAGCCAUCCACAAUGUUGUUCAUGCUAUUAUUCUGCAUCAACAACACCACCACCACCAACAACAACAACAACAACAACAACAACAACCGUUGAGCCAAGUCUCCUUCCAACAGCCUCAGCAACAAUAUCCAUCAGGCCAGGGCUUCUUCCAACCAUCUCAGCAAAACCCACAGGCCCAGGGCUCUUUCCAGCCUCAACAACUGCCCCAGUUUGAGGCAAUAAGGAACCUAGCGCUACAGACGCUACCUGCAAUGUGCAAUGUGUAUAUCCCUCCAUAUUGCACCAUUGCUCCAUUUGGCAUCUUCGGUACUAACUGAGAAGAGAAGAACUCUAGUAGUAGAUAUAUGAUACACCGUUUUCUUAGUCCAUGGUUUGGUCGUUGUAGCGGUGAAAAAAUAAAGUGACAUGCACUAUCAUGUAAGAACCUGAACUAUACUAGUUCAAACUUGGGAAUAAAAGACAAACACAGGUCUUGUCUACAUAUGAUUGUUUGUUUGAGUUCCACUCAUGUGCCCAUUCACAAGUUCACCCCUAAUUAUAUAUAUUAUGCAUUAAGUAGAUAUUUAUGUUGCAUUAAUCUAAAGAUAACAAAAUGAGUCUGAAAUUUGAAUUAAAUUGAAGUAUUUCCUUGGACUUUCAAAUGGAGUAUUAUUAAAGUAGUAAGGACUAUCCACAUCCUUGGCUUGCCCUUGAUCAAUUAUUUGCUGAGAAGCAUUCAAUUCGUCAAUCAAUUACAUUGAUUUUUGUGGCUGGUACUUCUCCUCAACAUGAGUAUAUUCAUCGUGGCUACUCCAAAUCGGCAUGAAUGAGGUACCGGUGCUCUGGAGCACUAGUACCUAACAGCUUCUCAUGUGAAGGGGUGCGGGCACGGGAGAGGUGUUUUUGGUGGGUCAAGGGAGUAAGAAGCGGCCGUGGCAGCGGUCCAGACGCCCACAAAGCCUCGUAGUUUGUUUUUGGUUUACAGGAAAAUGCACAUCCAGACUGGCCUGCGGGCCGAUAUAGGACCGUAUUGGAUGGCAAAACAUGUCCAGAUGGUUGUGAGCGGUUUGAGGGUUAGCUUUUGUAACGCCCGGUUAGUUAUGCUAUGGUAGUUCCCUGCUAAUGAUGUCACGUCACCACGAUUACUGUUGUUAACCUCACAAUGAUUCAAUCCCAUUCAAAUCCAAAUUUAAAAUAAAGGCAAACAUCAAAAGUUUCAAACAUUAAAACUAAAAUCUUCGAGAGGUGAAAAAUAAUGCAUAAGUAAUUAUGGUGGAGAAACCACACUUUUAUAAAAUGUUUAAAUACUCUAAAAGGAAUAAAACAGUGGCUUAAACUAUUAUUUAAAUGCUUUUAAAAUAGUAAAAAUGUUCUAACUAAAUUAAUUGGGUACCAAACUUUUGGUGGCAGUGGUAUAUUUAGUAGAAAAAAUUUAGAUGCUAAUUAUAUAAUUUACAAAAUUAAAGUAAAUUAAAAAAUAGGAUAAAACAUAAAAGGAAAGACAAAACAAAUAAAAGCAAAAGGGGGCAACCCCUCACUGAGCCUCGGCCUAGCUGGCCACUAGGCUAGCUAGGCCGGCCCAGCCGCCUCCCUUAACCCCCCACUCCCCAUCGAACAAUAGCCCGAUCGCCCCACUUCCCCCACACCCCCUCGUCAGCCUCCCCACCUCUCGAUCCCAUCUGGAUCGGGGAGGGGAUCGCCCCCAUCGACCCCGUCGCCAUCGCCGGAUCACCCGCUCGCCCAUCGCCCGCCGGCGUCGCCGGGCCUCCUCCCCGCCGCCCGUCUCCGGCUCUCCUCCCCUCUCGCUCCUCUUCCCCGACCCGAUAUGGAUCGAGAAGGGGCAAUGAGCCCGACGCCCCCCUCCACCGACGUUGUGCGCCAGCACCGCCACCCGAAGACCUCGUCGUCGCCGGACCUCGCGUCGCCUCCUCGUAUCUCUCCCCGACUCGCCUCCUCAAGCCACGCCGACCCCCUUCUCGGCAACGCUGUGAGCCGCCCCCGUUUCCCUCCUUCUCUUUCCACCGUGUUUGAUAAGUCUCCAACGUAUCUAUAAUUUUUGAUUGUUCCAUGCUAUAUUAUAUUCUGUUUUGGAUGAUUAAUGGGAUUUAUUAUACACUUUUAUAUUAUUUUUGGGACUAACCUAUUAACCGGAGGCCCAGCCCAAAUUGCUGUUUUUUUGCCUAUUUCAGUGUUUCGCAGAAAAAGAAUAUCAAACGGAGUCCAAACGGAAUGAAACCUUCGGGAAUGUGAUUUUCGGAACAAACGUGAUCCAGAGGACUUGGAGUGGACGUCAAGCAACAGACGAGGAAGCCACGAGGUAGGGGCGCGCCUACCCUCCUGGGCGCGCCCUCCACCCUCAUGGGCCCCUCGUGGCUCCACUGACCUACUUCUUCCUCCUAUAUAUACCUACGUACCCCCAAACCAUCAGAAGCGACCACAAAAACCUAAUUCCACCGCCGCAACCUUCUGUACCCGUGAGAUCCCAUCUUAGGGCCUUUUCCGGCGUCCUGCCGGAGGGGGCAUUGAUCACGGAGGGCUUCUACAUCAACACCAUAGCCUCUCCGAUGAUGUGUGAGUAGUUUACCUCAGACCUUCGGGUCCAUAGUUAUUAGCUAGAUGGCUUCUUCUCUCUCUUUGGAUCUCAAUACAAAGUUCUCCUCGUUUCUCUUGGAGAUCUAUUUGAUGUAACUCUUCUUUUUGCGGUGUGUUUGUCGAGAUCCGAUGAAUUGUGGGUUUAUGAUCAAGAUUAUCUAUGAACAAUAUUUGAAUCUCCUCUGAAUUCUUUUAUGUAUGAUUGGUUAUCUUUGCAAGUCUCUUCGAAUUAUCAGUUUGGUUUGGCCUACUAGAUUGAUCUUUCUUGCAAUGGGAGAAGUGCUUAGCUUUGGGUUCAAUCCUGCGGUGUCCUUUCCCAGUGACAGCAGGGGCAGCAAGGCACGUAUUGUAUUGUUGCCAUCGAGGAUAAAAAGAUGGGGUUUAUAUCAUGUUGCAUGAGUUUAUCCCUCUACAUCAUGUCAUCUUGCUUAAAGCGUUACUCUGUUUUUAUGAACUUAAUACUCUAGAUGCAUGCUGGAUAGCGGUCGAUGUGUGGAGUAAUAGUAGUAGAUGCAGAAUCGUUUUGGUCUACUUGUCACGGACGUGAUGCCUAUAUACAUGAUCAUACCUAGAUAUUCUCAUAACUAUGCUCAAUUCUAUCAAUUGCUCGACAGUAAUUCGUUUACCCACCAUAAUACUUAUGCUCUUGAGAGAAGCCACUAGUGAAACCUAUGGCCCCCGGGUCUAUUUUCCAUCAUAUUAAUCUUCCGUCAACAAGCUAUUUCUAUCUUUAUUUACCUUGUAAUCUUUACUUUUACUCUUUAUCAUAAAAAUACCAAAAAUAUUAUCUUAUCAUCUCUAUCAGAUCUCACUCUCGUAAGUGACCGUGAAGGGAUUGACAACCCCUUUAUCGCGUUGGUUGCGAGGUUCUUAUUUGUUUGUGUAGGUGCGUGGGACUUGAGUGUGGCCUCCUACUGGAUUGAUACCUUGGUUCUCAAAAACUGAGGAAAAUACUUACGCUACUUUACUGCAUCACCCUUUCCUCUUCAAGGGAAAACCAACGCAGUGCUCAAGAGGUAGCAAGAAGGAUUUCUAGCACCGUUGCCGGGGAGUCUACGCACAAGUCAAGACAUACCAAGUACCCGUCACAAACUCUUAUCCCUCGCAUUACAUUAUUUGCCAUUUGCCUCUCGUUUUCCUCUCCCCCACUUCACCCUUGCCGUUUUAUUCGCCUCCUUUUCGUUUGCUUCUUGUUUGCUCGUGUGUUGGAUUGCUUGUUUGUCGCGAUGGCUCUACCUAGAUUUGGUGAUCUUCCAUUAAAAGGUUAGAAGAGAUUGAAAGCAACGUCAGAAGUUUCAUGACUUUACAAUUUGAGCAUAACAAUUUCUUUAGAAACGAGCUUAAGGAACAAAAAAGCUUUAUGGGUUACAUGAAUAAAGAGCUCGACGAUAUGUCUAAGGAAUUUUAUGGUCUAAAAUCUUAGAUUUCUCAUCUCGAAAAAUUAAUUGCUGAAAUUUCGGAUAAGCAGGCCACCUUAGUUAAUAAGAUGGCCGCUAAACCGGUAAUUUUUUAUGAGAAUAAAGAUGAAGAUCUAAAAGUUAUUGAUGUGUCCCCUAUUAAAUCUUAGUUUUGCAAUAUGAAUCUUGAUAAUGAUGGGACUGGAGAUGAGUCAACUUUAGUUAAAAGGCGUCCCAAAAAUUCGGAGUUUUUAGAUCUUGAUGCAAAAUUUGGUAAAAGUGGGAUUGAAGAGGUCAAAACUUUAGAUAUCAAUGAACCCACUAUCUUGGAUUUCAAGGAAUUUAAUUAUGAUAAUUGCUCUUUGAUAUAUUUUAUUUCCUUGUUGCAAUCCGUGUUAAAUUCUCCUCAUGCUUAUAGUCAAAAUAAAGCUUUUACUAAACAUAUCGUUGUUGCUUUGAUGCAAUCUUAUGAAGAAAAACUUGAGUUGGAAGUUUCUAUCCCUAGAAAACUUUAUGAUGAAUGGGAACCUACAAUUAAAAUUAAAAUUAAAGAUCAUGAAUGCUAUGCUUUGUGUGAUUUGGGUGCUAGUGUUUCCACGAUCCCAAAAACUUUGUGUGAUUUGCUAGGUUUCCGUGAAUUUGAUGAUUGUUCUCUAAAUUUGCAUCUUGCGGAUUCCACCAUCAAGAAACCUAUGGGAAGAAUUAAUGAUGUUAUUAUUGUUUCAAAUAGGAACUAUGUGCCCGUAGAUUUUAUUGUUCUUGAUAUAGAUUACAAUCCUUCAUGUCCUAUUAUUUUUGGUAGACCUUUCCUUAGAACGAUUGGUGCAAUUAUUGAUAUGAAAGAAGGAAAUAUUAGAUUCCAAUUUCCGUUAAGGAAAGGUAUGGAACACUUUCCUAGAAAGAAAAUAAAAUUACCUUAUGAAUCUAUUAUGAGAGCUACUUAUGGAUUGCCUACCAAAGAUGGCAAUACCUAGAUCUAUCCUCGCUUUUAUGCCUAGCUAGGGGCGUUAAAUGGUAGCGCUUGUUGGGAGGCAACCCAAAUUUUAUUUUAGUUUUUUUGCUUUUUUGCUUCUGUUUAGGAAUAAAUCUUUGAUCUAGACUCUGGUUAGACUUGUUUUUAUGUUUUAAUUAGUGUUUGUGCCAAGUUAAACCUAUAGGAUCUUCUUGGAUGAUAGUUAUUUGAUCUUGCUGAAAAUUCCAGAAACUUUCUGUUCACGAAAACAAUUGUUAAAAAUCACCAGAACGUGAUAAAAUACUGAUUCUAAUUGCAGUAGAUCAAUAAACAAAUUAUCUAGGUCUUCCUAUUUUGGUAGAUUUUUCUGAGUUACAUAAGUUUGUGUUAGUUACAGAUUACUACAGACUGUUCUGUUUUUGACAGAUUCUGUUCUUCGUGUGUUGUUUGCUUAUUUUGAUGAAUCUAUGGCUAGUAAAAUAGUUUAUAAACCAUAGAUAAGUUGGAAUACAUUAGGUUUAACACCAAUAUAAAUAAAGAAUGAGUUCAAUACAGUACCUUGAAGUGGUGUUUUGUUUUCUUUCGCUAACGGAGCUCACGAGAUUUUCUGUUAAGUUUUGUGUUGUGAAGUUUUCAAGUUUUGGGUAAAGAUUUGAUGGAUUAUGGAACAAGGAGUGGCAAGAGCCUAAGCUUGGGGACGCCCAAGGCACCCCAAGGUAAAUCUAAGGACACCAAAAAUCCAAAGCUUGGGGAUGCCCCGGAAGGUAUCCACUCUUUCGUCUUCGUCCAUCGGUAACUUUACUUGGAGCUAUAUUUUUAUUCACCACAUGAUAAGUGUUUUGCUUGGAGCGUCUUGUAUGAUUUGAGUAUUUGCUUUUUAGUUUACCACAUUCAUACUUGCUGUACACACCUUUUGAGAGAGACACACAUGAUUCAGAAUUUAUUAGAAUACUCUAUGUGCUUCACUUAUAUCUUUUGAGCUAUAUAGUUUUUGCUCUAGUGCUUCACUUAUAUCUUUUAGAGCACGGUGGUGGUUUUGUUUUAUAGAAACUAUUUUUCUCUCAUGCUUCACUUAUAUCAUUUUGAGAGUCCUACAUAACAGCAUGGUAAUUUGCUUAAAUUGAGAAAUUAGUCCUAAUAUGAUAGGCAUCCAAGAUUAGUAAAAACUUUCUUAUAAGUGCGUUGAAUACUAAGAAAAGUUUGAUGCUUGAUGAUUGUUUUGAGAUAUGGAGGUAGUGAUAUUAAAGUUGUGCUAGUUGAGUAGUUUUGAAUUUGAGAAAUACUUGCGUUGAAGUUUGCAAGUCCCGUAGCAUGCACGUAUGGUAAACGUUGUGUAACAAAUUUGAAACAUGAGGUGUUCUUUGAUUGUCCUCCUUAUGAGUGGCGGUCGGGGACGAGUGAUGGUCUUUUCCUACCAAUCUAUCCCCCUAGGAGCAUGCGCGUAGUGCUUGGUUUUUGAUGACUUGUAGAUUUUUGCAAUAAGUAUGUGAGUUCUUUAUGACUAAUGUUGAGUCCAUGGAUUAUACGCACUCUCACCCUUCCAUCAUUGCUAGCAUCUUCGGUACCGUGCAUUGCCCUUUCUCACCUUGAGAGUUGGUGCAAAUUUCGCCGGUGCAUCCAGACCCCGUGAUACGAUACGCUCUGUCACACAUAAACCUCCUUAUAUCUUCCUCAAAACAGCCACCAUACCUACCUGUUAUGGCAUUUCCAUAGCCAUUCCGAGAUAUAUUGUCAUGCAACUUUCCACCGUUCCGUUUAUCAUGACACGUUUCAACAUUGUCAUAUUGCCUUGCAUGAUCAUGUAGUUGACAUCGUAUUUGUGGCAAAGCCACCGUUCAUAAUUUUUCAUACAUGUCACUCUUGAUUCAUUGCCCAUCCCGGUACACCGCCGGAGGCAUUCAUAUAGAGUCAUACUUUGUUCUAGUAUCGAGUUGUAAUCAUUGAGUUAUAAAUAAAUAGAAGUGUGAUGAUCAUCAUUCAUAGAGCAUUGUCCCAAAAAAAGGAGAAAGGCCAAAUGAAAAAAAGGCCCAAAAAAAGGGGCAAUGUUACUAUCCUUUUUCCAUACUUGUGCUUCAAAGUAGCACCAUGGUCUUUAUGAUAGAGAGUCUCUUGUUUUGUCACUUUCAUAUACUAGUGGGAAUUUUUCAUUAUAGAACUUGGCUUGUAUAUUCCCACAAUGGGCUUCCUCAAAUGCCCUAGGUCUUCGUGAGCAAGCAAGUUGGAUGCACACCCACUUAGUUUCUUUUGUUGAGCUUUCAUGCAUUUAUAGCUCUAGUGCAUCCGUUGCAUGGCAAUCCCUACUCCUUGCAUUGACAUCAAUCGAUGGGCAUCUCCCUAGCUCGUUGAUUAGCCGCGUCAAUGUGAGACUUUCUUUUCUUUUUUUCUUCUCCACAUAACCCCCAUCAUCAUAUUAUAUUCCACCCAUAGUGUUAUAUCCAUGGCUCACGCUCAUAUAUUGCGUGAAAGUUGAAUUUUUUUUGAGAUUACUAAAGUAUGAAACAAUUGCUUGGCUUGUAAUCGGGGUUGUGCAUGAUGAGAGCAUUCUUGUGUGACGAAAAUGGGGCAUGACCAAACUAUAUGAUUUUGUAGGGAUGAACUUUCUUUGGCCAUGUUAUUUUGAGAAGACAUAAUUGCUUAGUUAGUAUGCUUGAAGUAUUAUUACUUUUAUGUCAAUAUUAAACUUUUAUCUUGAAUCUUUCGGAUCUGAAUAUUCAUACCACAAAUAAGAGAAUUACAUUGAAAAUUAUGCUAAGUAGCAUUCCACAUCAAAAAUUCUGUUUUUAUCAUUUACCUACUCGAGGACGAGCAGGAAUUAAGCUUGGGGAUGCUUGAUACGUCUCCAACGUAUCUAUAAUUUUUGAUUGUUCCAUGCUAUAUUAUAUUCUGUUUUGGAUGAUUAAUGGGCUUUAUUAUACACUUUUAUUAUUUUUGGGACUAACCUAUUAACCGGAGGCCCAGCCCAAAUUGUUGUAUUUUUUGCCUAUUUUAGUGUUUCGCAGAAAAAGAAAAUCAAACGGAGUCCAAACGGAAUGAAACCUUCGGGAACGUGAUUUUCGGAACAAAUGUGAUCCAGAGGACUUGGAGUGGACGUCAAGGAACAGACGAGGAAGCCAUGAGGUAGGGGGGCGCGCCUACCCCCUGGGCGCGCCCUCCACCCUCGUGGCUCCACCGACCUACUUCUUCCUCCUAUAUAUACCUACGUACCCCCAAACCAUCAGAAGCGACCAUGAAAACCUAAUUCCACCACCGCAACCUUCUAUACCCCUGAGAUCCCAUCUUGGGGCCUUUUCCGGCGUCCUGCCGGAGGGGGCAUUGAUCACGGAGGGCUUCUACAUCAACACCAUAGCCUCUCCGAUGAUGUGUGAGUAGUUUACCUCAGACCUUCGGGUCCAUAGUUAUUAGCUAGAUGGCUUCUUCUCUCUCUUUGGGUCUCAAUACAAAGUUCUCCUCGUUUCUCUUGGAGAUCUAUUUGAUGUAACUCUUCUUUUUGCGGUGUGUUUGUCGAGAUCCGAUGAAUUGUGGGUUUAUGAUCAAGAUUAUCUAUGAACAAUAUGUGAAUCUCCUAUGAAUUCUUUUAUGUAUGAUUGGUUAUCUUUGCAAGUCUCUUCGAAUUAUCAGUUUGGUUUGGCCUACUAGAUUGAUAUUUCUUGCAAUGGGAAAAGUGCUUAGCUUUGGGUUCAAUCUUGCGGUGUCCUUUCCCAGUGACAGCAGGGGCAGCACGGCACAUAUUGUAUUGUUGCCAUCGAGGGUAAAAAGAUGGGGUUUAUAUCAUAUUGCAUUAGUUUAUCCCUCUACAUCAUGUCAUCUUGCUUAAAGCGUUACUCUGUUCUUACGAACUUAAUGCUCUAGAUGCAUGCUGGAUAGCGGUCGAUGUGUGGAGUAAUAGUAGUAGAUGCAGAAUCGUUUCGGUCUACUUGUCACGGACGUGAUGCCUAUAUACAUGAUCAUACCUAGAUAUUCUCAUAACUAUACUCAAUUCUAUCAAUUGCUCGACAGUAAUUCGUUUACCCACCGUAAUACUUAUGCUCUUGAGAGAAGCCACUAUUGAAACCUAUGGCCCCCGGGUCUAUUUUCCAUCAUAUUAAUCUUCCGUCAACAAGCUAUUUCUAUCUUUAUUUACCUUGCAAUCUUUACUUUUACUCUUUAUCAUAAAAAUACCAAAAAAAAUUAUCUUAUCAUCUCUAUCAGAUCUCACUCUCGUAAGUGACCGUGAAGGGAUUGACAACCCCUUUAUCGCGUUGGUUGCGAGGUUCUUAUAUAUUUGUGUAGGUGCGUGGGACUUGAGUGUGGCCUCCUACUGGAUUGAUACCUUGGUUCUCAAAAACUGAGGGAAAUAAUUACACUACUUUACUGCAUCACCCUUUCCUCUUUAAGGGAAAACCAACGCAGUGCUCAAGAGGUAGCAGUGUUCACCGCGCCGCCCGCCGUGCCCCUCGCCGCGCGCACGCCCACCACCGCGCCAGCCCCCGCUCAGCGCCCUCUCCUGCACGCUUGUGCGCGCAUGACCCUAGCCACGCCCGCGCCGUGAUCCCCUUGUUCGGCCCGCCUUCGUCCCGCGCUCGCCGCGGCCCCCAUGCUCCCCCGUGCCAUCUUCUAGGGGCGUCGGCUGCCCCUGUCCCGCUGCUCGCUGCCACGCCUCGCCCGCCCGCGCCUCGCCACCGCUCUACUGCUACGCUAAUAUUGCGCUGUGGCCGCCGCCGCUUCCCGCUGCUCUGCCAGCGCCGAAGCUCCCGGUUGGCUCCGCCGCUGCUCACGUUUUACCGCCCCUAAACGGCCUACCCCCCCCCUCGCUAAUGAACCCCCACUGACCCGCUGACACCGGGACCCACAUCCCCUAAUUAACCAUUUAAUAAAUUAAAAAUCUUAAAUUAACAUUAGUGUAUGACAUGUGGGUCCCCUAUUAAUUAAACUGAUUUAAUUAAAAUCUAUUAACAUUGAGUCUGUGACAUAUGGGCCCCACUAAACAUUUGACCAGUCAACGGUCUAGUCAAAUGCUGACCGGACAGUUGACCAGAGGGCCCCACCAGUCAGCCUCUGUGCUGUUCUGCUGGGUACCUUUCUAAGUACACCUAGCAUUUUGCAUUUACAAUAUUUGUUUUAAAAUAAAUUAGAAUAAUUUCAAAAAAAGAUUAAAACUUUUAAAAUUAAAAUAAAAUAAUCCGUAACUCGGAUGAAAUUACUUUAUACAUGCAAGUUGCUCAAAAAACGAGACGAAUCCGAAUACACAGUCCGUUCGUCUGCCACACGUCCCUAGCAUAGCAAACAUGCAACCAUCCCCCUCCGGUUCGACUGUCCGAAAAUGUCAGACACGGGAAAUACUUUUCCGGAUUUUCCCCUUCACCAUUAGCACCUAGUACCGCGUGAGGGCAUACCUAGCACCACUUAUUGUAAUGUCAUGCAUCGUCAUGCAUCUGUUUGCAUUGUAUUCAUUGUUUCUUCCUCCUCUUCUCUCCGGUAGACUACGAGACCGACGUCGGUGCUGCCCCGGUCGACUACGGUGUCCAUGACCCCUCCUUGUAAGCAGAGCUUCCAGGCAAGCAAACCCCCUUGAUCAUCCCGAUAUCGCCUACUCUUUCCCUCUACUGCUUGCAUUAGAGUAUUGUUACUGUUUGUCGGUUUGAUCCUAUACUGCUGCAUGGCUUGUCUUUGAUACUACUUAUGUGUUAUUUGUGUAGAUUUGUCAAGGAAAAAUGAGUCUAUAGCCUAAUAAAUGAAGUGUUGCAUGUUACCACACAUAUGUUAAUCCCCACUAUAGAGUUAGUAACAUAGACUAGUAACAUGUGCAUGUUACUACCCAUUGUGGCCAGUCUAUGUUACCACUUUCCUCUCUUUCUUCAUUUAUUGCUUGCCACAUCAUCUAUUUUAUCUAGGUAUGUGUGAUAUUACUACCUAUGUUACUCCCACUGUGGGUAGUCUAAGCAGGCUAUAAGGAAUAGAAUAAUAUAUAUGUGCUUAUUAGUUGGAGGAAAGAGAAGAGAAGCGGGCUCUUGGUUAGUAGAGCCAGCUACAACAUGAGACCCAAGCACUUUGUGAGGAUGUAAGGUGGCCAACUAUUGAUAAACUAGUACGUAUAUAAAAAUUAUUAUUGCACAUGGCCGCUAAGAGGUUGGCUGUAUAUGACAUGACAACUUCUUAUAGCCGACCCUUGGCUGUAUUAUUAACCAUGCUCUUAGUGAGGUAGCUAGUAUAUCAUAGACGACUAGCUAGUAUCAGACUAGCCAAAGUGGGAGUAACUUCAGCAGUAACAUCGACUCCAACUCAGAAAACUUGCUUAUGUGGGAGUAAACCGUGCCCAAUGCAAAAUACAAUCCCAGUCAUAAUUUUUUCAGGAAACGUGUGGUAUCCCAAACGAAAAGUACAUGUCACUCUUGCGGCAACGAUACCCAAUAAAUCACAAACGGUCUGCAGCACUUGUAUGUGUGCGAAGAGGCUCCUGAACCGUUUGUGAUAGAACAUUAUCGUAGACGAUAAUUGUUGGCAAACGUGUGCGAUGGAGUCUAGCAUGGCAGACAGGUUACGCAGAAAACUCGUGUGCGAUGGGGCACAAAUCGCACACAGUUCAUAUGUUGGCCCGUGUGCCUUACAUACUAUUUCCCAAACGGUUUGUUACGACAGACCGUAUGGUUUCAGUGCGUCAUUAGAAACGCUUAAUCACCGAUACCACACGUGCGAAAGAAUUUAGUGUGUGCUUCAUCGCACACGAUUACAUUUUGGAAGGCCUCUGGAUCACUGCUCCAUAUCCCCGACGGUUUCUGGGUCGUGUGGGAAGUACACCCUAUCGCACACACUCACUUGGCGACGGUUCCAAAUGCCAUCGCGGAAAGGGGUUGAAAACAGUUUGUUUAGAACCGACGCGUACCAUUGUCUAUCUAUCUAUCUACCUAUCUAUCUAUCUAUCUAUCCAUCCAUCUAUCUAUCUAUCCAUCUAUCUAUCCACCUAUCCAUCUAUCCAUCUAUCUAUCUCUAUCCAUCUAUCUAUCUAUCCAUCUAUCCAUCUAUCUAUCCAUCUAUUUAUCUAUCUAUCUAUCUAUCUAUCUAUCUAUGUAUCCAUCGAUCCAUCUAUCCAUCCAUCGAUCCAUCUAUCCAUCCAUCUAUCUAUCCAUGCAUCCAUGUAUCCAUCUAUCGAUCUAUCCAUCUAUCCAUAUAUCGAUCUAUCCAUCUAUCUAUCCAUCUAUCCAUCUAUCCAUCUAUCGAUCUUUCCAUCUAUCGAUCUAUCCAUCUCUUCAUCUACCCAUCUAUCCAUCUAUCCAUCUACCGAUCUAUCUAUCCAUCUAUCUACCUACCUAUCUAUCUAGCUAUCUAGCUAUCUAUCUAUCUAUCCAUCCAUCUGUCCAUCCAUCCAUCUAUCUACCUACCUACCUACCUACCUACCUACCUAUCUAUCUAUAUAUCUAUCUAUCUAUCUAUCUAUCUAUCUAUCUAAAGGAAAUAUGCCCUAGAUGCAAUAAUAAAGUUGUUAUUUAUAUUACUUAAACUAGCAGAGUCACCCGCGCAUUUGCGCGGCUAGAUUGACUACAUAUAUUGUUAUAUUUGGGAUUAUUUUUCUAUGCCAACUUUAUGGCCUCUUACUCAGAUAUUAUCUAAUUUAAUUUACCACCACCAUAUGUUAUAUCCAUAGAUUAUAAUUAAAAGGCAACUUGCGACGAAACAUGGUCAGAUUAUUGAGUGCUCAGAAGACGGGCGCAAUAUCAUAUAUAGACUUCUAUACCAAUCUUCAUGGUUCCCAUCUUUGAUCCUCUCCUCGUCCCUUGGUAUCUAUCUUUGCACCCAAUAUGUCUUUGGAGUUCCAAGAAUUGGAUCUUAGCAUGAAUGGCUUCAAAGUGUACCAAAUGUUCUCUUGUUCCUCCCAAAUUAAUUACUGGUUGCAUUCUUAGUUGCUUUGACAUUCUUGGUUAAUGCAAUGUCUUGCCUACCAAUAUAUGCAUCCACACACGAUCAUAUUUAUAUGACCACUUACCUCUGUAUUCUGGUAUUUGUGCUUCAGAAUUUUUCUCUCAUUCAGUUUAUUCAUAGAUUAGAAACGUCGAUCGUUUCUUUAUUGGUUUGCAUUAUCUUGUUUGCCGAAUGUAAGCAUCCACACAUGCUCGUCAUGAUAUGAUUGGUCAUCAUUGUAUAUUUGUAUUUGUGUGUUGAUAGCUUAAGGAUUUUCUCGGAUUCACUUCAUAGUUUAAGGAUUUUCUCGCGUUCAAUUUAUUCUACCUUAUUCAUUUUCAUGUUUCUUUAUUGUAUUCAUAUCCAUUCUUACAAUAUAUUUUCCAAGAUAUGAACUCAACUACUAAUUACGUAGUUUUCAAUGAAAUUUUACAUGUAAAAGUGGUACAAAUGCAUAAACCCAAUUUUUUUUUAAACACGUUGACUUACAAAAAGGACAAUUCAAGCUGCAUGUACGUCCGACUCAUGUUUACCUGACAAUGUCGAUGUUGAUUUCAGCAGUAAAUGAGCUGUGUGUGACCUUUGCGCUUUCCGGUAUUCUUCUAACCUGUGUGCUUUAUGAUCAGUUUGUUGUGCUUAGUACUGGACACUGGAGUAUACUAUCAUAUUUGAUACAAACAAAUCCGAACUGCUAUAGUUAUGAUCCACUGUAUAGUUAAUGGUGGUGGUAAUUAAUAUAUGUGGUUAAAUACUUGCGCUCCUUAGGUGGGGAGUUGGAUUUGUAUUUGUCUAAAAUGAAUUUCAGAUUUCGUAUCAGUGGUGAAGCCAGCCGGAAGAACCUCUGCGUCAUUAUUAAUUUUGGUGAUAUUUUUCAUCAUAGUGUAGAAUAAUUUUAGUGCUUAUUCCGCAAAAAAAUGGCCUCAACUGACCCCAUAGCUUGUAUGUUGCGCCACCACUGUUUCGUAUAUCUUAUUACAUCCGUUGUUUUUAGAUCUUGAUGCAUAACUUUGACAAUUUUUAAUAGAUAUGUGUCUGUAUAAAAAAAUUAUAAAUGCUAUGAUAAUUUGAUUAAUUAUGAUGAAUAAAAUGGUAUUGCUUUGACUUGAUCCCUCUAACAAUUUAUAGGAAUGCUCUUAAAUAUUUCUGCUUCAUUUGAUCUCAUUAUAGCCUGCCUAAAUUACAUGGCUUAAUCGCCUUUUUUCUUUUAUCUUAGUUCAUUUCCGUAAAUUCAUUUGUACUAUAUAUGCUCCCGUAAAUUCAUUUUUUUAAUUGCUCACAUUUUUUUGAGGCAUUUUGAGUUUCUCACGUACGCUCAAACGCCCAAGAAAACACAUAUAGUGUUCGCUACGCCCAAGAAAACACAUUGAGGCAGUAAUUUCUUCAGGCAAGAUCGAUCGGCAGCUAAUUAAGUAGGCUGGAUGGCAUUGAGAAAUCCAAAAACGAUUUACAUACACAUGGUAGAUCGUCUCUCUCUCUCCUUCCACCCCUUCCUUUCAUGGCCAUCGUAGACUGCACCAUGUGGCAUUCAAACUUUUAUCAAGGGGAGAGUUUCCUCACACACACACACACACAUGCACAUACGCAAGCACACGCACACACGUGUAGUACAAACUUAGAAUUUUUGGAAAUAAUGGGAGGCCGAGCAACGGCCAUGUGAAAAUAUGAGGUAUAUAGCUUGUGGAUUUCCUUUCAGUGUACAAGGCCUGCAUGAGGAAUGGAUAAAAAAUUAUAUCUUUGAUUCCCUUAGUUAAAUCUUAUCCUUCAUCGUCAAUUAUGACUAAGCAUACAUAGUAACCGCUAGUUUCUCUUAUAUGCUUCCGAGAAGAUAAGACUGGAUAUUUUAGUUGCUAUUAAUUGUUUCCCUUCUUUCGCUAAAUAGUAGUCAAACAUGUUAUUAAUGUAUUUUGUAAGGAUAAGGUCGAGCAUCAUGGCCACUAUGUUCUAUAUAUACUGAAUUUGGUGUUCAGUAUGACAUAACAAACACAUAUUGUGAGAAGGAGUAGUGUACAUUGUUCUCUAGUGCACUUUGUUCAGCAAGUUGGGUGAAAAUGUUGAAUAGAACCAUCAAGUUUUCAUACUUUUUUUCAUGGCACAGGUUUGCCUUCUCAUGAUGAUGGCCGCACCGUUUGCACAAGCUGCUGGGAGGCCUGUGGCCUCCUUACCAUGGGUAGCGGGGUGUUGCCCGAGGAACUAUUUGUGUUGUGGUGUUGGUGCCGUUGCCCCGACAUCCCAUGCAUCACAGGCCACCUCUGUACCUUGAGUUAUGGUUUCGCCUGAUCUCCUCUCAUAACAUAGUUGAUAUAACAUAGUAGCAUCACAAAGGUUGCAUGGUUUCAUUGAUUCAUCUCUUUUCUACUCCUUGAAACUUGUGAUGCCACUUUUGAACAAUGUCAUUGCUAUGUCUUCUUAUAACUAAUAAAAUGGGAGGAUAUUUUCAUCUUAUUUGAAUUGUGUUGUAACAUUACCUACUAAUGUGGAUGAUCUGAGUGGGACUACAUAGAUCGGAUCUUCUAAAGAUGUAAUCUAGGACUUUGCGAGAUGAUGAAAUUGUCCUUUAUCUUGGUCGACACCUUUUCGUAGAAGUGUUGGUCGGCCGUCUGUGUCUUUUUGCGGUGCAUGCCGUAGAAUCCUCCAUGUUUUGUAGUUGUACAAUAACCUUUGAGGCAACCGGGGGUGGUACGUCUGAGGAAGUCGGUGGCCCAGGAAUAUUCAUAAUAAGAUCUUGACCAUGGAUGCCAAGUAAUUUGCCCCGUGCUGAUGUCGUCGGGCUGACCCGCUCACUUAUGUUUUGACUCAAGGAGUCGCUAUGUUCACCGAGUCGCGAGACAGCGGGAGGAAGGAGACGAAGGUCCCAAACGUCAGACCAAAAAGGUGGACUAGGGCUCGCCCUAGUUGUGCUCUCGGGUAUUUUCAGUUACUAGUAGGAGUAAGAAGCAUUGCAAAUUGCUCCCUCUGUUCAAUCCGUAUAUAUGUAGUCCAUAUUCAUAUAUUCAAAAUAUUUUAUAUUUGUGAACGAAGGAAGUAAUUAAUUGUAAUGCAACAAUUUCAGGGGAGGCCAGUCAACAGCUAACUAAAUGUGCUGGAUGAGACUGGAGAAAUGUAUAAACGAUUUACACAUGAUAGAACUACUCUUUUCUUGUUAAGAAAUGGAAGAAUGGAUGAUUUUAUCCGUUCGGAACAAAACCCAAUAUUCAUCCAGUUAGACGUUGUUCUGAAUUGUGACGCUUUUGAAAGUUUUCUCGCAGAAAUAUGUGUGUAUUCCAGUUGUAUCAUUAGCAAACCAAGGUUGUAUAUAUUAUAGCACAAAGAAUGUUUGGUUGAUUCGUUCAGGCGAAUCGGGUUUGUUGCUGACUGCCAAAGUCAGGCCAACUCCAGCGCACGACCCCAAACGGACAUCUGUUUUGCCUGGAUUCUGCCCGUUUGGAUAGGGCAAUGGGGUCGUGUCCGGGCCUGUCCUGUGAUGCGGUGGCCGUGCGCACAACGUGCGGACGCAUCCUUUGGCCUCAUCAUGUCCGCCACGGCCAAAAAUGCCCAUAUAUUCAUAUUUCAAUGUUCAAAACUAGUUUGCACGUUCAAAUAUUAAUUGUCUGAAAAUAAAAAUAGUUAUUACAACCCAAUCAAAAUUGUCUCUAAUAAAAUAGUUUUACAACCAAAUCGAAAUUGUCUUGAAUGAACAUAAUGAACCAAUACAUCUAUUGGUUGCCAAUGUGAUUCCACAUGUGCUCAACCAAGUCAUUUUGAAGAUCCAAAUGAGUGUGCCAAUCAUGCAUUUCACGAUGAAAUUGGGCAAACUUCUCAAACGUGGCCGGUUCUUGGUGCAGGGGCUGAACAUUUUCACCUUGAAAAUCAAAUCCUUGGUCGAAGAUGCUGUUAUCAUGCUCGUCCUCGAUGAUUAUGUUGUGCAUGAUCACACAAGCAGUCAUCACCUCCCGAAGCUUCCCUUCAUCCCAUGUCAAUGCAGGGUUUCAAACGAUACCCCAUCGGGAUUGAAGCAAACCAAAAGCACGUUCCACAUCCUUCCUAGCACUCUCUUGCAUUUGGGCAAAUCUCUUUCUCUUCUCACCUUGGGGGUUCGAGAUUGUCUUCACAAAAAGUUGACCACUGAGGAUAUAUACCAUCAGCUAGGUAGUAUCCCUUGUUAUACUGGUGGCCGUUGAUCUCAAAGUUGCCAGGUGGGGAGUGGCCUUCUGCAAGCCUUGCGAAGACUGGAGAACGCGGCAGCACGUUGAUAUCAUUGUGAGAACCUGCCAUGUCGAAGAAAGAAUGCCAUAUCCAAAGAUCUUGCGAAGCCACCGCUUCUAAUAUGAUAGUGCAAGCUUUAACAUGCCCCUUGUACUGGCCCUGCCAAGAAAAUGGACAGUUCUUCCACUCCCAGUGCAUACAAUCUAUGCUACCAAUCAUGCCUGGAAAGCCUCUAGCUGCGUUGGUCGCCAACAAGCUUUCUGUAUCAGUGGCAUUUGGCUGCUGAGGGAGUCCUGGAUUAAGGGGUCCUCGGGCGUCUGGGCUAUGUAACAUGGGCUGGACUAAUGGGCCGCGAAGAUACAAGAUGGAAGGCUUUCCCCCCAUGUCCGGAUGGGACUCUCCUUGGCGUGGAAGGCAAGCUUGGCAUGCGGAUAUUAAAGAUUCCCUUCCCUGUAAACCGAGUCUGUACAACCCUAGCCCCCUCCGAUGUCUAUAUAAACCGGAGGGUUUAGUCCGUAGAGGCAAGGAUAAUCAUACAGGCUAGAUAUCUAGGGUUUAGCCAUUACGAUCUCGAGGUAGAUCAACUCUUGUAAUCCCUAUACUCAUCAAAGUCAAUCAAGCAGGAAGUAGGGUAUUACCUCCAUUAAGAGGGCCCGAACCUGGGUAAACAUCGUGUCCCCUGCCUCCUGUUACCCUCUAUCCUUAGACGCACAGUUCGGGCCCCCCUAUCCGAGAUCCGCCGGUUUUGACACCGACAGCUGCCUCAAGUACUCAGGGCCAAACACUGCCACCACAGCCUUGUAGAAUUUGUAAAGUGACAACAGACAUGUCGACUCACUCAUGCGCACGUACUCAUCCACCAGAUCGCCUGGAAUUCCAUAUGCAAGCAUGCCGAUGGCCGCGGUGCACUUCUGGUAAGAGGAGAAUCCAAGCUUGCCAAGGGCAUCCGUCUUGCACUCGAAGUAUGGGUCAUGAGCAACCACUCCCUCUCGGAUACGAUUGAACAGAUGCCUUGCCAUACGAAAACGGCGACGGAAUUUAUUCGGCUUGAAGAGCGAGGUAUUCGCAAAGUAAUUGGCAUAGAGCAAGGCGUGGCCUCUCUCUCUAUUGCGUUUCAGGUUGGGAGCACGGCCAGGGACUGACCCCAUGUACCGAGGAAGCUGCCCAAUGUGAUCGUGAACGACCAGUGCAACCACCACCAGAUCUUCGUCAUCCGAGGACGAAUCAUCCGAUGAAUAAAUGAAGUGGUGGAAGAAAAAUUCAUCUCCACUGUCCAUACCUUUGUGGGCAAAGUGUCCAACACCUUGCGGUCGUGGUGGCAAAUAGGCCGCGAUGAUCAUCUCGAUGCAGCAGGGGUGGUUGGCGGCCGGCUACUGGCCGCUAUGGAGCACCUGGCGAAAGCUGCCGUGGUCCAUAUCCGUCGCCGGUGGUCGUAUCCCCUCUGGCACCGGCUACAACGACGACGGCCAAAUCUCCUCCAAGCGAUGGCCAGAACUCCUACGAAAGCGCGGGCUUGGUGGCGGCCGUGUCGAGACGUGGUUUGGUAUGGAUGGCCGGGGGGAAGCAGUGAGGAGGCGGUCGGAGAAUACUGGGGGCGCCGGUGGCGGGGUGGGGCGGAGGAGAGCGGGUGGAGGCGUUGGAGGCGAAUGGAGUGCUAGUGUCCCCAACAGGCGGGCCGCGGGGAGGACAAGGGCGUGUGUCCAGCCCGUCCGUGUGAUGUCCGUUUCAUCCCAAACUCGGCACAAGUUUGGGCCAGGAAUGGGUAAAAAACGGACGAAAUCCGGACAUUUGUCUAUUUGAGGCCGUGCCUUGGGUCGCGCUAUUCGUGUAUUCUACCCUAAACGGACGCACCAGAACGGAAUGGGGUCGCGUGCUGGAGUUGGCCUCACGACCGUUUCUGCCUUUGGCGCAGACAAGAGAUUCUACACUGUAAAGGAAAAAGCUGAAAGCUCGCUUGUCUCGUGUGUUUCUCUUCUCUUGCACCUUGUCGGAAAACAGCGUGCACCAGGGACGCUCGAUUCCAUGGCAGGCAUCAAUUCAAUCGAUCAUGCUACAGGGAACCGGCACUAUUUUCUUUUUCUUUUUCUUUUUCUUUUAGGUCGUGAACGCAAGUCAUUUGAGACAUUCACAUAGGACUUACAUAAUUGGUAGAUUUAUUAGCAUCAGUGUGGAGCUAAAGUGUUUGAUGUUUUGUAUGAAUGGUUUGGUCUUAACAAUCAAGCCGACCACUCAGGACCUACUUUUGGACUUUUUUUUUGUAUUAUUGUAUACUAGCAAAAGGGCCCGUGCGCGGAGAAAAAAAUUAUAAUCUUGAAUGACCAUGAUCACAUUUUUUUGCAUCACCGAGAUACACUAUCACUUUCAAUUUCGGGAAAUCAUGUACAUUUUUUAAACUUGUGAACAUUUUUCAAAUUCUUGAACACUUUUACAAAUCUGCAAACAUAUUCUAAAAUCAAGAACAUAUUUUGAAUUCAUGAACAUUUUAUAGUAUUUACAAACAUUUUUAGAAAUUACGAAUUCUUUUUAACAACUUUCUUGAAUAGGCAAACAAUUCUAAAAUGGACGAACAUUGUUUUAUAAAUCGGUGGAACAAUUUUUGAAAUUCACGAACAUUUUUUUGAUUUUACAAACAUUUUUUGAAAUGCAUGAUCAUUUUUGUAUAAACUAUUUUGUAUGUCACGAACAGAUUUUCAAAUAUUUGGUUAUUUCCCCAUUCAUGAACAUUUUUUGAAUGGUGAUAUUUUCUUCAAUUUCAUUAACAUUUUUUAUACACCAAUUUUUAAAAAGUCAUGGACGUAUUUUGAUUUCAUGAACAUUUGUUUUCAAAAUUUCGAACAUUUUUCGAGUCAGAUUCUUUAAUAAAAUUGCAAAUAUUUUUUGAAUACAUAAACAUUUUAUGAUUUAUUAAAACUUUAUUUGAAAAUUAUUUUUAAAUUUCAAAUAUUUUGUGUAUUCCGAAUUUAGUUAAAGCAGAAAAAACGGAAAAGGAUAAAAAAGGAAAUGUUAAAAACAGGCCGCCCGGACAUGGGCGGCCCAAACAGGCGGGCCGCGCCUUAUCCCUACGCGCAGAGCCCAGUAUGGGAGGUCGCUACUACAUGGCCCAGUCCAGACGUGGAUUCCCUGUGUGAAACAUUUAUAUCACUUAUACAUGACAUUUGUGGGUAAUUUGUACGACGUGCCAUAAGAAGAAAUAGCCCCUUUAUUAUUACUAGCAAAAGUGUCCGUGUGUUGUAAUGGGAGAAAUAAAAUCAAAAUCUCCAAUGACCAUGACCAUAUUUUGUUGCAUCACCCAGACACCCUAUCACUCUCAAUUUCAUGAAAUCAUGAAUAAUUUUUGAAAUCACGAACAUGUUUUAAAAUUAUUACUCAUAUUUGAAAUUGUGAACAUUUUUCAAAUUCAUGAACACUUAUACAAAUUUUCGAACAUUUUCUAAAAUCCAGAACAUUUUUGGAAUUGAUGAACAUUUUAUACUAUUUGCAAACACUUUUUAAAGAUUCUGAACAUCUUUAUAAACAAUUUUCUUUAAUCGAGGAACAUUUGUAUGGAAAUUGACGGAACAAUUGUCGAAAUUCACAAACAUUUUUUGAUUGAACUAACAUUUUUUGAAAUACAUGAUCAUUUUUUGAAUCAGUAGACAUUUUCUGAAUGACUAAACUAUGUUGUAAGUCACGAAAUAGUUUUUGAAUUUUAGGAUAUUUCUCCAUUCAUGAACACUUUUUGAAUUGGCUAUUUUUUUCAAUUUCAUUAACAAUUUUUGAUACAAAAACUUUUUAAAAAUCAUGAAUUUUAUUUGAUUUCCCAAAAAAUUGUGUUUAAAGUUUUGAACAUUUAUUGUGUAAGCAAUUGUUUUUUACAAAACAGCGACCAUAUUUUGAAUCCACAAACAUUUUAUGAUUUAUGAAAAUUUUAUGUCAAAAUACUCAUUUUUUAAAUUUUCUAAACUUUUUUGAAAUCCUAAACUAUUUAUAGUAAAAAGAACGAAAACAGGAAAGAAAAAUGAAAAUAGAAAACGAAAUCAAAGAAACAGGCCAGCCUGAAAUGGGCCGGCCCAAACAUGCGUGUAGCGUCUUCUCCCAGCGUGCCGAGAACAUUAUAGGAGGUCCCUACUGUAGAGCCGGCCCAGAUGGGGGAAUUCCCUUGUGUGAAUUUUUUGUAUCACUUAUAUGUGGCAUUGAACUCAUGAAGCAUGCGCUAUCCCUUCCAGCUCGCCGCCAUGUCUGGCUCGGACAACCAGAUGGACUUUCUUUCGUCCCUGUAAACGUUUUGAUGAUAUAAUAAAAAGCUUCGGAAUUUGUCUAAAAAAACUUAUAAGUGGCAUUGGUGGGUAAUAUUUUGCAACUUUAGAGGUAAUUCCAUGACGUACCACCAGAAGCACAAUAGCCCCUUUACUAUUAUUAGGUACUCUUUUUUCCUUGUGGAGCUUUGGAAAUGAGAGAAUUUGAAUAUAGUAACUCUCGGAAACUCUUAUUGGACGAGAGAGAUUUAAUAUGAUAUUGGCAUGGGUUCUACCAACUAAACGAAGAAGUAUUUGACUGAAUAAACAGACAAUUUCCUUUAAUCGACGAACAUUUUUAUGAAAAUUGGUGGAAUAACUUUUGAAAUUCAUAAAUAUUUUUUGAGUUAACGAACAUUUUUUGAAAUACAUGACCAUUUUUUUGAAUCUGUGAACGUUGUAUGAAUGAAUAAACUAGUUUGUAAGUCAUGAGCAGUUUUUCAAUUUUUAGGAUAUUUUUCCCUUCAUGAACAUUUUUUCAAUUGGUGAAAUUUUGUUCAAUUUCAUUAACAAUUUUUAGUGCAUAAAACUUUUUAAAAUCAUGAACAUUAUUAUUUACCAAAGAAGCAAAUUGUUUUUUGCAAAAUCAUGGACAUUUUUUGAACCCACAAACAUUUUAUUAUUUAUGAAACAUUUUUUUAAUACACAAUUUUUUUAAUUUUCGAAUUUUUGUGAAAUACUAAAUUAUUUAAAGUAGAAAAAUCAAAAACAGAAAAGAGAAAGGAAUAAUAGAAAAGGAAGUUAAAUAAUAGGCCGACCGAACAUGGGCUGGCCCAAACGGGCGCACUGCAUCUUCUNNNNNNNNNNNNNNNNNNNNNNNNNNNNNNNNNNNNNNNNNNNNNNNNNNNNNNNNNNNNNNNNNNNNNNNNNNNNNNNNNNNNNNNNNNNNNNNNNNNNNNNNNNNNNNNNNNNNNNNNNNNNNNNNNNNNNNNNNNNNNNNNNNNNNNNNNNNNNNNNNNNNNNNNNNNNNNNNNNNNNNNNNNNNNNNNNNNNNNNNNNNNNNNNNNNNNNNNNNNNNNNNNNNNNNNNNNNNNNNNNNNNNNNNNNNNNNNNNNNNNNGUAUUAUUAUUGUUUCAAAUUUAUUCAUAUAUUAUUUUCAAUUGUACAACCAUAAUUUUUCUUAUCUCUCUCGUUCCACUACAUGCUCCUAGUCAAAGAUUUUUUUUAAUAAUGGGUGUUUUUAUUAACUCAAAAUAUAGCAUCAAGCGGAUACAAAACAUAAUGAGCCACACCCGGUCUAUGCAUAACUAAGAUGCACACAGCCAAAAGCAGAAGUCUGACAAAAAUAAGAUAAGAAAAUCGACAUAUCGACAACAGUGAGUCAUGUAGUACCGACACUAUGCCUCUGUCGAAGGAGGUGGUGGAGCGAUCUGGAGAUUAUGCUGCCAUCCAUGUUGAGUAAAUAUCUCCCUGGCCACUUGCUCCAACCGCAUAGACGCCGCCAUGAACAACGGUUGGUACUCCAUUCGGUGUAGCAUACACCAUACUAGAGGCUGGGGCGCCACCUGAGGCGGGCCUAUGCGCACUUAUUUUGUCUGGGCACUUCGGUUGUCAUGUUUGGUCAUCAGUAUCACUUAUGUACAUCAAUAUGGGCGUAUGCUGUAUUGUUUGAGUUCAUUAGGAUCUAUUAGUAUCACAUCAAUCAAAGUACAUAUACUAUGUUAUUUGAGUUCAGAACCAUCAUAGGCAAUGAUACGUCUAAUAAGGAUAUAUAACAUUUAAUUCAAAAGGAAAGACAAAGUAGAAUUAAGUGCUUUAGUUUGGCCGAAGAAAGGAACCUCAUGAUGCCAUGACUAAGGAACCAAAUAUAAAAGAGCACCUUUCAGAGUACUCCAGAGGUAUGACAUCAUCCAUUUCCACAUCAGAAUCAUCGGAAUUCUCCUGAUCUUCAUUUCGAUGUACCCAACACAAAUGCUACAUGGAUUUUAGUCAGCUGCACUCCCCACUACUUCUACACUUCCCCUUUUUCACACCGACGAGCAGAGACUGAUGCAAGUUGAUCGAACACAGAACAACAUAUAAUUUCCUAGAGAUGCGCUGGGCCUGAAAGGCAACAUACCUAGCAUGCGCAUAAAAUGUGAGAGUAACAAUAAAAGAACAUACCAUUUACCGAUAUGAUUAUUAUUGCUUGCCAAAAUGAUACGUUUUGAUUACUAUUGCAUGCCAAUAUUCUUAAUCACUCCAAGCAAAUUUAACCUAAACUAAAUAUCUAAGAGUAAGCUCUGGUUUAUGUAUUUUACAGAAGUUUGGUUCAGCGAAACUUCGGAAGCAAAUGUGUGAAGGUUUUAUCAUUCUAAUUAAAGGCCUUUUGAUUGUGCAAAACUUACACUACCACAUGAGUUACUGACCAACAUGAGAUGCAAAGUAACAACAGCAUGAUAAUUUUUUUUGAAGGCAGUCAUAUUCUAAAGCAUUAAAAGAUGAAUUCCAAUGCUUUGAUUCUGUAAAGAAUUAGAUCGAUCACUCAACAGUUCUAUUGGCGCCACUAAAAUUCUGAGUGCAAUGUUGUGUAUGUAGCUAAAAUUCACCCAUCAAAGACAACCUUAAUAAUAAGCAAUGGUCAAAACAAGCAAUUGUUGAAGUUAAAUGUAAUUAGAUAGGAAGUCACAUUUGAUUCAUGACCAUCGAGCUGAAAAUGAGACCGAUAAAAGCUGAUUCACCAUGAAGAGAAACAACUAAUGUGAACCUCGGGUUGUAAAACAAAUAGGAUGAGUCGUGUGCUGAUUGCAAAAAAUUGUACUUCUAACCAAAUGACCAUGCUUCAUGAAUAGAUGACAAUAUAGUAACACGAAAGUGAAGUACGGUGAAAUUUUGUAAGCUACUAAGGGCAUAGGGCAAAGCUCACACUCCAGCUUGCACUCCUUGAAGAAAUCAACCAAAAGCACCCAGAAAGAUAAAUGGCAUUGUGGCAUCCGAUGAAUGUUGAUAACUGUACCAUCACACUAAUUUAAUCUACAAAAUUCAUGUCAACAUCACUAAUCAUGAUGUAUCAGGUUAGGAUAAAAUCAUUGUUUUUUCCCAAAAUAAAAUAAAACAAGCCCAGUUAGAAAGAAAUCAUAAGCCUAUCAGACAAUCAGGCAAUUCUGUUAGCAUGUCAACAAUCAGACAGAACAAAACCUAUAGUCCUCAUUUUUUUCUUUCUAAAAAAAGUGUAAUGCUAGAAAAGAGAGUUAAAUAAAAUGCUACGUGAAUCAGCAUACAGAAAAUUCAUAGAAGCAAUGAAGAAAAUAUGAACAAAAUUUAUGUCGAAACACCUAUACUUUCCCCACGAGCAAAUAUGUGUAAUGUUAGAAAAGGGAGUUAAAUAAAAUGUUAGGCAAAUCCGCAUCCAGAAAAUUCAUAGAAGCAAUGAAGCAAAGAUGAGCGACAAAUUUAAUCUACACACACACACACACACACACAUUCAGGCAAACAAAUUACUUCGAUUGAAUCCAUUCCUUUGCAUAUAUGGCAUAAAUGCAUCUAAGGAAAAAAAAACUUGAUGGUGUUAGUUUACCUUGCCAAGAUCAUGAAAUCCAUCUAAAUGAAUAAGAAGCUCCAACAGUGUCCGCUGGAUCUCAUGGUCGUCAUUGGUUCCCUCACUAAAUCUUCUCGCAUCAAUUGCAUCGAUUUCAUCCAUGAAGAUAAUGCAUGGCUAGAAAUAACAACUUGAUGAAAAUGAAACAAAAUUUGCAAGCACCGUAAAUAAACUAAAUGGUGAUAUAAGCUAAAAUGAUCUCAGAAGUGCACUUUUACAUAUAUAGAGAUCAGUUUGAUUUCUUCUUCUCAGGAAAAACUGAUACUGAAAUCUAAAGCUUAAAGUUUUUCUAGUGUUGAACCAGAAUACAAUUAGAUGACAUGACAUCUGAGUCAAGGGAACUAUCAAAGUCACAGCUUGAAUCUCAACACCAGUAGAUGCAUAACCAUCUGCCAACAUACGUUUCUAACAGAUAAUAAGGGAAUUAGGUUUAAGACCAAUUGGCUUUGCAAAAAAGAAAGGCGGAGCAAAACUUACUUGGCGAUCGCGUGCAUAGCCGACCAUUUCUCUGAUUAAAAGCGCACUUUCCCCGAUAUAUUUGUCAAUUAUAGCACUUGACACAAUCUGGUUUUUAGACAACACGUCAGUGUAAUGUAAUACUCACAGAAUGAAAAUACCAACCACCAUCAAUCAAGUGAAAACCACAGCUCCAAAAAGUUAGCAUGAAUGUUACUGGAUAUAGCCCUUGAUAGUAAUGGCUUCCCUGUAGAGUAGAACGCACUUGAAAAAGUUAAAGAAACAUACACUGGCUCCCAUAUAUUGAUCUUGUAUUUGACAAGUGGCCGGGCAUCAACAUUGUGCCUGCUGGUGUACCAAUUCAGCUUGUAGCUGCCAGCUAAUCUCCUUCUGAACAGUUAUGCUGUCCUCACUCACGUGCUACGCCUAUUCAAACUUGCUUAAUUUAAUUUGUUACUACUAUGUUAAUGCUGACAUAUUAACUGGCAGACCUCAUGUACUAACAGUAAAUCCCAGCAUACUUUCUUAAUUUGCUACUAUCCGGAUUUAUUCUUUUAGCGAGAGGUCAGGUAUCACUUGGAACAACUGAGUUUCUUUUUAAUCUUUGUGGACACUACACUUGAACGCCACAACCACCUGGAUAUGUCAGGCAGGACGGGCAGCAGCGCAUCAUCAGUAAGUUUAUUUAAGAGAGUAAAAUUCAGUCGCAAUCAGUCAAUCUCAAUCAGGUUCAGAUUUGGACGCGACCUUGAAUAACGAAGCCCCAACUGGGAAGAACAAGGUUGCAAGAACAAGCAGAUUGACGAUGGGUUCAUGGAAGCUUACCAGGCAGGCAGUCCGCCCGGCGGCUUGAGCAAGCUGCUGCUGGUACCCUACGCGCAGUCGCAGUCCGCACCGGCCAGGGCACACGAGCACUGACGCGCGUGCCGCCUGCCGCUUCACCAUGCCCACGUUGUAGUCGCCACCGAUUCACGGCAGGGCAGAGGGGCCUCGACCUCGUCCUCCUCCACAUCAUCAUCGGCGAUGCCCUUCCCCUCCUGACCCCAACACCAUCAUGCCCCCGCCGACUCAUCUCCCUACAGCGACGGCGACUCCGGAGGCUCCGAGACCUGGGACACCGACAUGAGUGGCUCGUCGGCAUCGGAUCUCCUCCACCCNNNNNNNNNNNNNNNNNNNNNNNNNNNNNNNNNNNNNNNNNNNNNNNNNNNNNNNNNNNNNNNNNNNNNNNNNNNNNNNNNNNNNNNNNNNNNNNNNNNNNNNNNNNNNNNNNNNNNNNNNNNNNNNNNNNNNNNNNNNNNNNNNNNNNNNNNNNNNNNNNNNNNNNNNNNNNNNNNNNNNNNNNNNNNNNNNNNNNNNNNNNNNNNNNNNNNNNNNNNNNNNNNNNNNNNNNNNNNNNNNNNNNNNNNNNNNNNNNNNNNNNNNNNNNNNNNNNNNNNNNNNNNNNNNNNNNNNNNNNNNNNNNNNNNNNNNNNNNNNNNNNNNNNNNNNNNNNNNNNNNNNNNNNNNNNNNNNNNNNNNNNNNNNNNNNNNNNNNNNNNNNNNNNNNNNNNNNNNNNNNNNNNNNNNNNNNNNNNNNNNNNNNNNNNNNNNNNNNNNNNNNNNNNNNNNNNNNNNNNNNNNNNNNNNNNNNNNNNNNNNNNNNNNNNNNNNNNNNNNNNNNNNNNNNNNNNNNNNNNNNNNNNNNNNNNNNNNNNNNNGGAGGCUCGAGCUUGGGAAGGGGGGAGGGGAACGAAGGGGUGGGGCUCCAGGCAAUCCUCACCUCCAAAGACAACUUGACCGGCAACACGGGCAGGCUAGACCUCUUCUAUGGCGAGGCCAACUUCGGCGAGGGGACGAGGUGGUGCGGGACCUUGGAGAUAUCUCCCCCGCGCGUGGAGCUUGUCCGGCGACGCCGCUGAAGAUGCCACUGCCACGACCAGCUCGAUCCUCCUUCGCUGGACUCCGAUCUGGACGAGGACUGAGCUAGGAGGAGGGAAGCGGGAGAGGAGAAGGCGCAGGAGAAGCGGCUGAGCCGGCGGCGCAGGGACCAGGGAGAGAAGAAGGCGAACGAAGAGGGGAUUGACAGAGUGGCGAAGAAGCAUGCGGGCUAGGUUUCCUUUUCUUUUUCUCCCAGCACUGCACAGUUGCUUGUCUCGUAGCUUGCCGGCAUGGCUAUGGCGAGGGCUCGCCCUUGAUGCGUAGGUUAAUGUAUUCGACUAGCGGGGCGCCUCUUGAGAGGAAGCUGAGCGGUGCUAGGUGGGACGCGCCCCUUUCCCUUUCCUGCAUAUACUAUGUAAUGUUAUUGCAUCAGAUUUAAAGUAACAUGCUCAGCUAAGUGCAAAGUGUGAUGAAUAAGUGAAACAGAAGGAAGCUGGUACAUUGGUGUAUGCCAAAAACUGAAUAUUAUAACAUAAACACAUGAAGUCAUCGACGUCUAUGGUAUGAAAUGCACAUGCACAAAAUUAGAGUGCACAUGAAGACAGAGCACUAUAGUGUCCUGAGUUGCAAGUCUCUAAGCACUGAAAUGAUCUGCAAUCAUAUGUACAAAGUAACCGAAUAAGAACAAGAAAUUUAGAGUAAAUGAGCUGUAAAAUUGUAAGUAAUGAGCAUUGGAAUUAAGGCAGAGUCAGUGACAGUUGGGUGCACUUGACAGGAAAAUCGGCGAGGCAUAAUAUGAAAUUAGAGUAAAUGAGUGCGUGCACUUCUCUUGGUGGCACCUAAAUGAAAAAAGAAACUAUUCACCUCUCGAUAUAUUCCCUAAGACCAUAUAAAAUCAGGAAGGUACUGAAGAGAGAUGCUCAAAUUCGAAGUUGCCAUGUCUAGGAAUGCUUGAAGCUUCAAAGAUUUCCUAUAAUACAGCAUGCCUCUAACUAUUCACAAUAAGAAAAACAUGUAAAUGCGGAAUCAACCAAAUGAUGGUAAAUUGUAGUUGAUUUUGGCCAAGCAAACGUCAGAUGAAAGAAACAUACAUGAGUGAACAUCACGAUUGGAUGUUUUAUUCAAAUUUAACAGGUUAAACUCACCAAAUACAUCUGGAUAUUUAGUGUUAAACUUCAACAGAUGGUCAGUUGUAGCUAGAUUCACACCACUGAAGCAAAAUUCCAUCUGCCACGGUUACAUCACACCAUCUUUUCAUCGUUACUAUUUAAAUUCCAAAAGCCUGCAACUCAUUUUUUUUGUUACGAUGUAUGCAUGAUUUUUAACUCAAGAGGAAGAGGGGAAACUAAAUCCAAGAAAAGAACACCAAGGAAGCAUCCAAAAUAGAGAAAGGAAAAAUCCAAAAUAGAGGCAGAAUCGAAGGGAAGAAACCCCAUAAAAAAUAGGAGAUCAAACGGUGAAAAAAAUCUAAGAGUCAAACAAUUCCAGGUAAGACCAAAUCGACGGCAAAAUAGCACAAGAGGGACUCACAUUAACAGGUAUACCAAUUCAGAAAGAAGUGUAAAGCAAACAGUGCAAUGGACCACUAGUAUAAAUUGGAUGUACACAAACAUGGGACUUAAACAGGAACUGCGAGAUGCAGGGUUCACGUGCAAACCCAAAAAACGGAAAACUGAAACCCACAACAAGAUUUUAUCUUCAUAUAUAUAUAUAUAUAUAUAUAUAUAUAUAUAUAUAUAUAUAUAUAUAUAUAUAUAUAUAUAUAUAUAUAUAUAUAUAUAUAUNNNNNNNNNNNNNNNNNNNNNNNNNNNNNNNNNNNNNNNNNNNNNNNNNNNNNNNNNNNNNNNNNNNNNNNNNNNNNNNNNNNNNNNNNNNNNNNNNNNNNNNNNNNNNNNNNNNNNNNNNNNNNNNNNNNNNNNNNNNNNNNNNNNNNNNNNNNNNNNNNNNNNNNNNNNNNNNNNNNNNNNNNNNNNNNNNNNNNCCUAUCUAUUAGUUGCUUCUUCCGAAUCCCCACCUAUCAAGCGUUUUCUUUGAAUAAACAAACACAAUAGUAUUCUCUGAAUUAUACUGUACAGUGAUAAUUAACCAAGCGACUGGAAUUAACAAUAUUAUGAGCUAUUGGCUUUUUAGUCAGGUAAAUAUCAUUCUUAAGACUACGGAAAACAGCAGGCGGCGAAGAAAACAUCUAUUGAUGAGAACUAUACACAUACUUAAGAAGGAAGUGACAUCUAUGGUAGCAGAACAUAUAUCAAGCUGUUGCAGCUACAUUAGCAGUUUAGCACAGUCCCUCCAUAAUACACAGGCUAGUGUAAUUUCACAAAUACAAUAAGCUAACAAUAUAUAUUUGGUAGAUGGAAAUGGCUGGAUCAUGACCAAUAUACGAUUACACAUCCGAUGAUGCAAAUAAAGAAACGAGGCCCAACAAUAGUGGAAAAUAAACCACAAUAGAACAUGUAUUUGGCGAAACCUCCAUACUGCAAUAUCAAACAUGAAUUGAAAUUAACAAUCUAGCAAAAAAACAUGACAGAUGCAGUCUUGGUCAUUUUUUCUUUUGUGACAUCCCCUAAAAAAAGUAAAAAGAAUGUUGUUCGUAUUUUACCAGAGAUACACUGAGCUGGGACAAAUCGGUCUGAAAUAAAAUAUGAUGGCUUCGGAGGAUUCGGAAGGCAAGAAAUUUGCUUUCUUCCAACAUAUAUGGUCUGCUGAACUAAACUUUGUUUCAGCGAGCUUUGGCAAAAAUCUGUAACUGCAAACAUCAAACUUGUGUGCCCUUCCUACAUCAAACUUUAAACCUGACGGAUUAAAUAUUUUAGGUUAGGCUGAGAUCAGUGUACUUUAUGAGUGUUAAGUGUACUUUCUAAAUAGCAGAGAAACCAUAACAUCUAAGCACAACCCAGCAACUUGUACAAGCUAACAUCAAAUCUGAAAGAGGAAAUGUCGAGAACAGGUGAAGGUACCAUGAUCCAUGACUGAGCAAAGUUAUCUAUAAUCCUCGGUGAAUAUCAUAAAUUAGGAUCAACAAAGCUGAAGAACAAACGGGAAAGGAACCUAGAAAGAUCUUCUGCCGGUAGAAUAUAACUGAUACACUAUCCUCAUUCUCGAGAUCAAGGUCGUUUCUUGAAUUGCAGUUUCCUCACUGUAGUAUGGGGUCAUUACACUGCGAAGAACAAAGUGUCAUAUGAAUCAUUUAGAGCCCAAUCUUUUUCACUGAAACUCUUAUGAUCACAUAACGAAUUUAAACAUAAGGUUUAUUAGAUAUUUGUUGUUGUGAACUGAUAAUAUAUUUCUGGUGUUGACAAUGUUUUGAUUAUGGAUGCACUUCAAGAUGGGUGGCACAGAUUCUGUUGUACAGGCCUCCACCUGGAAUUUCAUCACUUGUUAUUUUUGUUUAGAAUGUCUAGGUGCAUUUUUCCUUUAAGGUGGAAACAGAUGUACUUGUAUAAGCAACAAGAAUACAAAGCGCCACUGCCAUACAUUGUGGAAGUUCAAUGCUUCUGUUUACAAAAUCUGCUUCCCAAAACAGAAGGAUUUAUAAUUUUUUAUUACAAUCAAGCGGACAUGAGCUGAUGAGUACAGAUGUAAACAUGUACUGAGAGCAGCACCCUUUCAAAAGUGGAUCAUUUACAAGUUGGAUAGUUUGAUGGUCUGAAAUUAGUGGUCGUGUUUCAGAAUUGUUAUCGAAUAGUAGAGGAUAUAUAUUAACUUCUGAAAUUAGUGGCUGUUUGUCAGAACUGUUAUCGAAUAACAGAGCACAUAUAUUAACUUCAAUAAGUGGAGUAAUAUCUUUGGAUUCGCUGUGAGGAAAGAUUACCAAAACAAAACAGAAGUGAGUGCGACGACCCAGAUGAGGGCGCUCUUGAGCCUCUUCCCGACCGACCUAGAUGCAGGAGCAGAACACCGCGGAUCUAAUCAGCCAACGAAUAAAGCCGAGGCAGGUAGAGGAAGUAAGGGAGGAAGAAGACUGACUUGUCCUGGUCGCCCUCGUAGUAGAAUAUGGUGAACGGGAUGACGAGGAAGACGAGGACAGCGUCGAGGAUGUAGACGACGAGCCAGAGCGUCUUCAUGGGCAGGAUAAGGGCGCAGGCCCCGUUGUAGGCGGCGUGCUUGCAGGUCUGGCGGUUGGCGACGUCAGCGGGGAGCAUGAGGAUGGAGAGGACGGCGACGGUGAUGCCGAGCACGACGACGAGCUUGGGGAAGUAGGCCUGGUUGGCAUCAUCCGGGUGCUGGUAGUUGACGAGCAUGUAGACGCUGACGAGGAGCACCAGGAUGCUGACCACCGCCGCCACGAUCACUAGCGCCACGUUAAAAACCCCAUCUCCUCGGGGCUCCGGUCCCGGUUCCGGCCCGCCGCCUCGCCCCCGUUGGUCGGUCAGAUCUCUCUGUCCCUAGAGGCGGGGGGAUACAGGCUAGGGUUUGGGCGUGGGCGGGGAAUAGGCUGCUAUGGUGUCGGCAGCGGGGCGGCCACCGGCGGGGAGGGCGGGAUCCGCGCGGGGUGGCGGGAUUUGGGCAGGCGGUGGGCUCGGGGGAGGGCGGUGGCAGCGAAGCAGCAGGGAGGGGCUGGAGGAGAUGAAACGAAAGAGGUCGCGUGACACAGCGACAGCGUCGUCCAAUCCCCUCGCUGCCGAUUUAAAAAAAGGUAAUGAUAACUCCCGAACGUUCAGGAGUUAAGCAUGGCAACCCGAACGGGUUUAGAUGGCAAGUUUAGUUUGCGUGAGAUUAGAGAAACAUGGCAAUUUUCUGACAAAAGAAAUGAAAAAGGACGAAGUUGCCAUCCCCUAUCAACUAAAGUUGCCAUCCCUAUGAACUAAAGUUGCCAUGUAAAAACGUUCGGGAUGAAAUGCUCAAAAUCCGAACGUUCGGAAGUUAUUGGAUUCAAAAAAAAUCCCCUUGCUGCCAAUCGCUGGCCCGUUUCUUUUUUCGCCCAAUCGCUAGGUGAUGACGUGGCUAUCACGGGAAGGCGCCCUUGAUGCGUAGUCGAAUGGUUUUAAUUAAUAGGAAGCGAGUGCUUACUCUAGUUACUGAAUUAUGUACACCAAAUAAAGCCAUUUACACGUAGUUAAUGACAAAAAAAGUUGAUGUUUGCUACGCAAACGUGUAGUACAAAUUAAGAAGUGCAAGAUAAAAAAAAAUGCUGGUCCUUGAUUCGUUGUUGAUCGUCAGCAUGCCAUCAUCAAUUUGUAGUUAAUUAUCAUACAAAUUGGCUCUUUCAUAGAGUUGGAGGCUAGCUCCUUUGAUCAGCACGCGCUUAAACAUAAACAGCACGUAUAUGUUUUGUCUCCGGAGUUCAAUUCUUCAUCGGCCAGCAAAAAUGGCCCGACCGGGUAGAGGAAAAGGCAUGUUUGUUAGUACGCCUGGAGGAAAUGCCUUUGAUUAGGGCAUCUUCAACAGCGACCAGUAAAUUUCCUCCCGCGUUCGUCCACGGAUAGGGGAUCAGUCCGCGGAUACGGAUACAGGAAUCAUCUAUCUAACGCUGUCCGCGUAUAUUUCAAACACAUUUUUUUUAAAAAAAUAGGAUGAAAUUCAUGCAAACACAAUGGAUUUCAUACAAACCGGACAAAAAUGUUUACAUUUUGGACAUAUUUUUUUUACUAAAAACUCUACAGCCGGCGCCGGCGAAUAUCCACUCCGGCGACAUGGAACCCUUGACUAGUCUACUGCCGGCCGCAGCGGAUCUCCAAUGUCGUCCCCAUGUCCGGCAACUAUGAGCCCUAGAGGUAUAUGCUUCAGCGCAAAGAGCGGCUCGCCUCCCUACCGCUCAUCGGAGUGGAACAACCAGCUGAUGCUUCUGCCGAUGGAAAGGGUCCCUACGCUACACGGAUUAGAGUUGGUUUUGGGCUGGGAACGGCGGUGGCCUGCCAGAGGGCAAGACACCGACUGUGUAUGCUGGUGUCACCUGGUGUGGCAUUCGUGGGACCCAAGCGGCAGCGCCUCCUCGAUGAUGGCGGCGAGCGCGGACGUGUUGGACACCACCUCGUCGAUGUCCGUGCAGCCCGCUUCUUUCUCUGUAGGAAGGACGCGGUUACGCUCGCGUUGACAUCGGAUGACUCGGUCACAUGCACGGGAGGGGCGGUACGACAUGGCACCGCCAAUGGCAGCCAUGAUGCCCGCGCCAGCGUGCUCUCUCCCAGUGCCGACCUAGAGCAACUUGCCACUCCUCUGCUCGUGAACGGUGGGCUUGACGGGCCACCUAGCCAUUUUUUAUGCCAGACAACUCUUCUUCCUGCUCGUCAGAUGUCAUGGAUAAAACUGUUUAAGGAGGAAAAUGAUGAGUAGACGUGUGAUGCGGUUCUUGCCCAACAUCUGACAUUGUUUAAAUAGCGAGGGGACACGAGAGGAGCCAACUGGCGUUCUGUUUAAUGCCAACCGGCUCGCGAACGAACAUGUGGCUGGAGUAAUUAUCCUGGCACACACGCGGGUUUAAUGGUGGAAGGUGGGCAGUCUGCAGGAAUGAGGCGAGGAUGUGUGCUUAGCCGGCGUGCAGCAGGCGGCGCCCUCGGCCGGCGUGCUGCAUCCAUUGCGGAGGCAGUGAGAGGUCGCGUCCGCUCUGCAGCGCAUGAAUGCGGGCAGCUGGCGCAGAGCGGGAACGCGUGCGGGCGAGGGAGGAGGGGGUUUGGGCGGGUGGUCAGAAGAGGUCGUGGGUGUUGUCCGAACGCCUGCAAAGCCCCCCUCCAUGUUUGUCUCCAGUUUGCGGGAGAAAGUAUGUCCGAACCGUCUCCAAUGGACCAAUACAGGCCCGCAUUGGAUGGCACAACACGUCCGGACCAUGUGGUCCGGAUGGUUGUGGACAGUUUAAUUGAGGGUCGGCGUUGGAGAUACCUUAGAGUUUAUGAAUCCAUUGUGUUUUUCUAAUCAUAAAAAAGCACUUACAAUAAGUUAUAAGGAAAGACACGUUUAUAUGUUAGGUUCAGACUCCAGCUUUCGUUUUACAUAUGCUUUAUUCAUCCGACUGAUUCCAAUAGAGUGAGCCUAGCGUUGUUUUUCUGGAAACUCGCGGGAUAAGGAGACAUGCAUACACAUUCUUUCAAGCAAAUCACAUCCAUCCUUUUUAACUCAUUUUUCUUCUUUUAAUAAUAUAAUAGAUCAUUUAUAUUUUUAUCUGAAACAGUUGACGUGUAAUUUAUAUUGUAAUCUGAGGAUAAUGUUUGGAUUUUACUUUCAAAUAUAUUUGAAAUGGCCAUGAUGGAAUCACAUCCAUUUAUUUUAUUAUUAUUUGAAUUUGAUCCAAAAGAUAAAUAAUGAGUAGAGGUCAUGUCAACUUUUCUGAGAACUUUGCUAAUCAAAAUAUAAUUGUAUUUAAAAACAUCUAUUUUUUAGCACGCAUGAAAAAGAUAACACGUAUCUUUUCACACAUAAUGAACGGUUGUCAUAAGAACUCAUGCCAUGCCACAACCUCCCUCCGACCCUGCCAACAUUGUUGCAGCUGCACUCGCAAGCCUUAGCGUAGAUGAUAAUUUAUACAAUUUGCGUAAAACAAAAUAAGAUCUACAAAUGAAUAGAAGCUAGAACGUACAUUGGCAUGCACACACAUUGCAAGCCAUACUAAGCUGAUAAGUGUUAAUAACUUGUACAACAUAUACAACACUUAAGACAAGUAAAAGCAAUUUGAUGAGUCAUGGUCUAUCAAAGCCACAUUACUAGUCUAAUCCAUCUUAACAGGUCACACAUGAUUAAAAUCUUGUUUGUGUGCAAGUCAAGCUUAUCUAGUUUACAUGUAACAACUUGUAGAACAUUACAAAAUUUAUGUUUGCUAAUAACUUCUAGAACACUACAACACUUGACAUGUAAAAGGAAUUUGAUGAGUUAGCGUACUAAAGCAAGUUAUAUUACUAGUCUUAUCUACCUUAACAGGCCACACAAGAUUACAAACCAAGUUCUGUGCCAGCCAUGCUUAUCUAGAUUAUGCGUAACAAUUUGCAGAAAAUUACAAACUUAGUUUCAGAAAAAUAGGCAAUCUAGAUUAGUGUUUGAGCUGUAAAGUGAGUAAAAUGAGUCAUGCGUGUUAUCACACCUUUUUGGUUGUGGAAUGAUAGUGCAACAACAAGGAACUUUAAUGACCAGUUCAAGAAUACACUUGUAAGUAGUGCCACCGAACACAACAUACCAAAUUAUGAUUUUGAGAAGCAUCCAAGCACUUCCACACAAGCAAAUGCCAAUUGUGAAAGAGAUCAUGCCAUGGCAGCUAUAAAUAGGCCCGUAGCAUGACGAUCAUCCUUCCUCAUCCAUCAUUCUCAUAAGUAGAGCGCAUCAUUUAAGCCAAGCAAGCAGUGCUCAAUACAAAUCCACCAUGAAGACCUUUCUCAUCCUUGCCCUCCUUGCUAUUGUAGCAACCACCGCCACAAUUGCAGUUAGAGUUCCAGUGCCACAAUUGCAGCCACAAAAUCCAUCUCAGCAACAACCACAAGAGCAAGUUCCAUUGGUACAACAACAACAAUUUCCAGGGCAGCAACAACCAUUUCCACCACAACAGCCAUAUCCGCAGCCGCAACCAUUUCCAUCACAACAACCAUAUCUGCAGCUGCAACCAUUUCCGCAGCCGCAACUACCAUAUCCGCAGCCGCAACUACCAUAUCCGCAGCCGCAACCAUUUCGACCACAACAACCAUAUCCACAACCGCAACCACAGUAUUCGCAACCACAACAACCAAUUUCGCAGCAGCAGCAGCAGCAGCAACAACAACAACAACAAAAACAACAACAACAACAACAACAACAGAUCCUUCAACAAAUUUUGCAACAACAACUGAUUCCAUGCAGGGAUGUUGUAUUGCAACAACACAGCAUAGCGUAUGGAAGCUCACAAGUUUUGCAACAAAGUACUUACCAGCUGGUGCAACAAUUGUGUUGUCAGCAGCUGUGGCAGAUCCCCGAGCAGUCGCGGUGCCAAGCCAUCCACAAUGUUGUUCAUGCUAUUAUUCUGCAUCAACAGCAACAACAACAACAACAACAACAACAACCGUUGAGCCAGGUCUCCUUCCAACAGCCUCAACAACAAUAACCAUCAGGCCAGGGCUCCUUCCAGCCAUCUCAGCAAAACCCACAGGCCCAGGGCUCUGUCCAGCCUCAACAACUGCCCCAGUUUGAGGAAAUAAGGAACCUAGCGCUAGAGACGCUACCUGCAAUGUGCAAUGUCUAUAUCCCUCCAUAUUGCACCAUUGCUCCAGUUGGCAUCUUCGGUACUAACUGAGAAGAGAAGAACUCUAGUAGUAGAUAUAUGAUACACCGUUUUCUUAGUCCAUGGUUUGGUCGUUGUAGCGGUGAAAAAAUAAAGUGACAUGCACUAUCAUGUAAGAACCCGAACUAUACUAGUUCAAACAUGGGAAUAAAAGACAAACACAUGUCUUGUCUACAUAUGAUUGUUUGUUUGAGUUCCACUCAUGUGCCCACUCACAAGUUCACCCCUAAUUAUAUAUAUUAUGCAUUAAGUAGAUAUUUAUGUUGCAUUAAUCUAAAGAUAACAAAAUGAGUCUGAAAUUUGAAUUAAAUUGAAG